This 492-nucleotide ribosomal RNA is filed under the name uncultured bacterium. RNAcentral describes it as "partial 16S ribosomal RNA". It matches the Rfam family "Bacterial small subunit ribosomal RNA", at positions 29 to 507 of the family's 1533-position model. The record is from RNAcentral.
AGUGAACGCUGGCGGUAGGCCUAACACAUGCAAGUCGAACGGCAGCACAGUAAGAGCUUGCUCUUACGGGUGGCGAGUGGCGGACGGGUGAGGAAUACAUCGGAAUCUACUUUUUCGUGGGGGAUAACGUAGGGAAACUUACGCUAAUACCGCAUACGACCUACGGGUGAAAGUAGGGGAUCUUCGGACCUUGCGCGAUUGAAUGAGCCGAUGUCGGAUUAGCUAGUUGGCGGGGUAAAGGCCCACCAAGGCGACGAACCGUAGCUGGUCUGAGAGGAUGAUAAGCCACACUGGAACUGAGACACGGUCCAGACUACUACGGGAGGCAGCAGUGGGGAAUAUUGGACAGUGGGCGCAAGCCUGAUACAGCCAUACCGAGUGGGUGAAGACGGCCUUCGGGUUGUAAAGCCCUUUUGUUGGGAAAGAAAAGCAGCAGGUUAAUACCCCGCUGUUCUGACGGUACCCAAAGAAUAAGCACCGGCUAACUUCGUG